Triticum urartu is the source of this 1737-nucleotide long non-coding RNA. RefSeq lists it as uncharacterized. The record is from RefSeq and is a predicted model, not a curated record. Lineage: Eukaryota; Viridiplantae; Streptophyta; Magnoliopsida; Poales; Poaceae.
AAAACACACCCGUCCAACCCCCAAUCUCACCCUUCUCUCUCUCACCACUCACAUAGAACCCGUGCGCCGCCGCCUCCGACCUAAACCUAAAUCGACCGCGCCGCCGCCCGUCCGCUUGCUCCCUCGUGCCACAUCAACUCCAACCCUGACCUUCCUCCCCGCAGGGCACCAUCCACCCAGGAGCAGCAGCUCCAUCCGCCGCGCUGAGGAGUAGCAGCACCGUCAAGCGCCACCAUACAGGAGCAGCAGCGCCUUCAAGCGCCACCGGACAGGAGCAGCAGAACCGUCCACCAGUAAGGAGAAGCAAGGCCGUCGGCCGCCGAGGAUCCAGCGCUGGUUUUCCUCCACCUGUGGCCUCUGUUCCGGCUGAUUUCCUUCCCUCCGCCCGGCCUGAGGUAAGCUUCUGGUGGUGGGGGCAAGUGAAGAAUUUACAUUGGUUCUGUUACAGGAACAGAGGAUGGUCCUCCUAAGCUGCUUAAUGAUGGUUGCUAAUGGCGAUGAUUUAUAUUUCGAUGAUGAUGACGGUGAUGAGCCAUUGAUGCUCGAGGAUGAAGCAGGGUUAGCCGAGGUCCUCGAAGCCUGUCUCUGACGCUGAUGGGUGGACCGCUCUGCUGCCUAGGCAUGAUCAGCCUGGGAAGUAGUAUUAAGGACAUGAGAAGCAAUACUUGGCGCUGUUUGGUCUGAAGGUAGAGUUGGAAUCCCUCUAGCCCAGCUCUAGGCAGGAGGUCGGUUGGAAUUGGAUCAGUAUCAGGAUUAGGAAGCAACCAAGUCACCCUUUUGAUCAACUAAAAUAGUAACAACAGUCAAUGGUGACUUGUGACCAUGAGGUCACGUGUUCAAGUCCUGGAAAGAGCCUCUUGUAGAAAUGUAGGGAAAGGCUGCGUACAAUAGACCCAAAGCGGUCGGACCCUUCCCCGGACCCUGCGCAAGUGGAGCUACAUGCACCGGGCUGCCCUUUUGACGCUUGCAGACCAUGUGAUGUUGCUUGCUUAUAUAUCAACAAGCACACGGCUCCGUGGGCGAGGAGGAUGACUGGGACCCCAACCCCAAGUCGACGACCCUGACCUCGACUUCCCACACAAGGGACAAAUGGUAGAAAGUAGCAAGUCCACAAGUUGAUCGAAGAUGUUCUCCUGAUUUCUUUUGUUGAGAACAGGGUUCACACAUUUUGUUCAUAUGGAAGUUGAUUUGGCUUGGUGAUUGAAGAGUUGGUCUUCCAUAAUAUUCUGUAGUAGUCAAGAGAUCAAGGAUUUGUCUCCUAGGAACUUUGGCAUUAUGCUUGUAAUAACGUGCCUCUCUCGGUACUUAUAUCUGAAUUGUGUAUACUUAAUGGCUGUUGUUCAUAUGGAAGUUGAUUUGGCUUGGUGAUUGAAGAGUUGGUCUUCCAUAAUAUUCUGUAGUAGUCAAGAGAUCAAGGAUUUGUCUCCUAGGAACUUUGGCAUUAUGCUUGUAAUAACGUGCCUCUCUCGGUACUUAUAUCUGAAUUGUGUAUACUUAAUGGCUGUUGUUCAUAUGGAAGUUGAUUUGGCUUGGUGAUUGAAGAGUUGGUCUUCCAUAAUAUUCUGUAGUAGUCAAGAGAUCAAGGAUUUGUCUCCUAGGAACUUUGGCCAUUAUGCUUGUAAUAACGUGCCUCUCUCGGUACUUAUAUCUGACUUGUGUAUACUUAAUGGCUGUAGCUAACUUCAGUGAAGAAAACUAAUGAAUCUUCUAUAUAUGUCGAAUGAAUGCAUUGAUCAA